Molecule: ribosomal RNA, 590 nt
Filed under: uncultured Basidiomycota
Lineage: Eukaryota; Fungi; Basidiomycota
Description: LSU rRNA
Rfam family: Eukaryotic large subunit ribosomal RNA
Source: RNAcentral
CCCUAGUAACUGCGAGUGAACAGGGAAGAGCUCAAAUUUAAAAUCUGGCAGUGUUAUGGCUGUCCGAGUUGUAAAUUAGAGAAGUGUAUUAUGGCUGAACCCUGUGCAAAAKCUUCUUGGAACAGAGCAUCAUAGAGGGUGAUAAUCCCGUCUUUGGUACAGGCUGUCAUUGGCUAUUCCAUACACUUUCAAAGAGUCGAGUUGUUUGGGAAUGCAGCUCUAAAUGGGUGGUAAAUUCCAUCUAAAGCUAAAUAUUGGCGAGAGACCGAUAGCGCACAAGUACCGUGAGGGAAAGAUGAAAAGAACUUUGAAAAGAGAGUUAAACAGUACGUGAAAUUGUUGAAGGGGAAACGCUUGAAGUCAGUCAUGUCCUUAGAUAAUCAACCCAACUUUGGUUGGGUGUACUUUCUAUUGGACAGGUCAGCAUCAGUUUUGAUCAUUGGAGAAGGGGUCUAGAAAGGUAGCAUCCUUUGGGUGUGUUAUAGUCUGGACUUAAAUACAGUGAUUGGGACUGAGGAACUCAGUGUGUAYCAGGCUUCGGCUUGGUUUGGAGGUUUUGGCCUUACAUACGCGCUUUGGAUGCUGGCAUA